GGGGAAAACGGGGUUAGCAAGGCGGGCUGGACCUCUCGGGGUUACAGCCUUGCUGAAUUAUUCACCCUUGUCUUUUGCGUACUUCUUGUUUCCUUGGUGGGUUCGCCCACCACUAGGACAAACAUAAACCUUUUGUAAUUGCAAUCAGCGUCAGUAACAAAUUAAUAAUUACAACUUUCAACAACGGAUCUCUUGGUUCUGGCAUCGAUGAAGAACGCAGCGAAAUGCGAUAAGUAGUGUGAAUUGCAGAAUUCAGUGAAUCAUCGAAUCUUUGAACGCACAUUGCGCCCUUUGGUAUUCCAAAGGGCAUGCCUGUUCGAGCGUCAUUUGUACCCUCAAGCUUUGCUUGGUGUUGGGCGUCUUGUCUCUAGCUUUGCUGGAGACUCGCCUUAAAGUAAUUGGCAGCCGGCCUACUGGUUUCGGAGCGCAGCACAAGUCGCACUCUCUAUCAGCAAAGGUCUAGCAUCCAUUAAGCCUUUUUUUCAACUUUUGACCUCGGAUCAGGUAGGGAUACCCGCUGAACUUAAGCAUAUCAAUAAGCGGAGAGAAA
RNAcentral lists this ribosomal RNA (550 nucleotides) under Pleosporales sp. HL5928S. RNAcentral's name for it is "eukaryotic LSU rRNA". The stretch from base 173 to 326 matches the Rfam family "5.8S ribosomal RNA". The record is from RNAcentral. Lineage: Eukaryota; Fungi; Ascomycota; Dothideomycetes; Pleosporales.